UGUCUUCUACUUCCGAAUGUACGUUUGGCAAAGAUGUUGAUGUUGCCAUUGAGUAAUAACGUUGAGGUUCCCGUGAAUGAUUCUCAGAUAGAAAUUCAAAAAGUCGAUUAUCACAUUUUACCGCAAAAUCGAUUGCUUGACUCAAAGUUUGAGGAUCAGGUAAGUUGAGCAUUAAUUUCUUUACUUCGUAUUGCAAUCCAUAAAGAAAUUGA
Molecule: long non-coding RNA, 212 nt
Filed under: Physcomitrium patens
Lineage: Eukaryota; Viridiplantae; Streptophyta; Bryopsida; Funariales; Funariaceae
Description: long non-coding RNA (PPAT_LNC006681)
Source: RNAcentral